UGUCAGCUUCUAAUCGCCCUUGGGCAAUUUUUUAUGAUCUGGCCUCAAAUCAGGUAGGACUACCCGCUGAACUUAAGCAUAUCAAUAAGCGGAGGAAAAGAAACUAACAAGGAUUCCCCUAGUAACGGCGAGUGAAGCGGGAUGAGCUCAAAUUUAAAAUCGGCGGUCUCAGAUCGUCCGAGUUGUAGUCUAGAGAAGCGUUUUCCGUGCUGGCCUGUGUACAAGUCCGUUGGAACACGGCGUCAUAGAGGGUGAGAAUCCCGUCCUUGACACAGAUCUCCAGUGCUUUGUGAUGCGCUCUCAAAGAGUCGAGUUGUUUGGGAAUGCAGCUCAAAAUGGGUGGUAAAUUCCAUCUAAAGCUAAAUAUUGGCGAGAAACCGAUAGCGAACAAGUACCGUGAGGGAAAGAUGAAAAGCACUUUGGAAAGAGAGUUAAACAGUACGUGAAAUUGUUGAAAGGGAAACGAUUGAAGUCAGUCAUGCUUUCCGAGACUCAGCCGGUUCUGCCGGUGUACUUCUCGGUUUGCAGGCCAGCAUCAGUUUUGGGCGGUGGAAAAGGUUGGCGGGAAUGUGGCAUCCUCGGAUGUGUUAUAGCCCGCUUUCGAAUACAUCGCCCGGGACUGAGGAACGCAGCACGCCUCUUGUAGGUCGGUCUUCGGACACGUCCGUGCU
RNAcentral lists this ribosomal RNA (671 nucleotides) under Tausonia pullulans. Its description in RNAcentral is "eukaryotic LSU rRNA". It matches the Rfam family "Eukaryotic large subunit ribosomal RNA", at positions 1 to 617 of the family's 3401-position model. Lineage: Eukaryota; Fungi; Basidiomycota; Tremellomycetes; Cystofilobasidiales; Mrakiaceae. The record is from RNAcentral.